GGGCGCUUAGCUCAGUUGGCUAGAGCACCAGCUCGACAAGCUGGGGGUCAUUGGUUCAAGUCCAAUAGCGCCCA
RNAcentral lists this transfer RNA (74 nucleotides) under Gemmataceae bacterium. RNAcentral's name for it is "tRNA-Val". It matches the Rfam family "tRNA". From Rfam's summary of the family: Transfer RNA (tRNA) molecules are approximately 80 nucleotides in length. Their secondary structure includes four short double-helical elements and three loops (D, anti-codon, and T loops). Lineage: Bacteria; Pseudomonadati; Planctomycetota; Planctomycetia; Gemmatales; Gemmataceae. The record is from RNAcentral.